Molecule: ribosomal RNA, 511 nt
Filed under: uncultured bacterium
Lineage: Bacteria
Description: bacterial SSU rRNA
Rfam family: Bacterial small subunit ribosomal RNA
Source: RNAcentral
AGAGUUUGAUCCUGGCUCAGGAUGAACGCUGGCGGCGUGCUUAACACAUGCAAGUCGAGCGAAGCGGCUGAAUUGAUUCUUCGGAUGAUUUUCAGUUGACUGAGCGGCGGACGGGUGAGUAACGCGUGGGUGACCUGCCCCAUACCGGGGGAUAACAGCUGGAAACGGCUGCUAAUACCGCAUAAGCGCACAGAGCUGCGUGGCUCGGUGUGAAAAACUCCGGUGGUAUGGGAUGGGCCCGCGUCUGAUUAGGCAGUUGGCGGGGUAACGGCCCACCAAACCGACGAUCAGUAGCCGGCCUGAGAGGGCGACCGGCCACAUUGGGACUGAGACACGGCCCAAACUCCUACGGGAGGCAGCAGUGGGGAAUAUUGCACAAUGGGGGAAACCCUGAUGCAGCGACGCCGCGUGAGCGAAGAAGUAUUUCGGUAUGUAAAGCUCUAUCAGCAGGGAAGAUAAUGACGGUACCUGACUAAGAAGCCCCGGCUAACUACGUGCCAGCAGCCGCGGU